AGACGUGUUUACACGGCAGGCAUUAUAUGUUAUGCCUACCUGCAAGAGACGUGUUUACACGGCAGGCAUUAUAUGUUAUGCCUACCUGCAAGAGACGUGUUUACACGGCAGGAAUUAUAUGUCAUGCCUACCUGCAAGAGACGUGUUUACACGGCAGGCAU
Non-coding RNA from Nematostella vectensis (starlet sea anemone), 161 nucleotides. Lineage: Eukaryota; Metazoa; Cnidaria; Anthozoa; Actiniaria; Edwardsiidae. The record is from Rfam.